GAACGCUGGCGGCGUGCUUAACACAUGCAAGUCGAACGGGGCGAAGUGAUAGCUUGCUAUUAUGGAGCCUAGUGGCAAACGGGUGAGUAACGCGUAGGCAACCUGCCCUUCAGAUGGGGACAACACCUCGAAAGGGGUGCUAAUACCGAAUGACGUUUCCUAGUCGCAUGACCUGGAAACCAAAGGCCGGGCAACCGGUCACUGAAGGAUGGGCAUGCGUUGUAUUAGCUAGUUGGUGGGGUAACGGCUCACCAAGGCGACGAUACAUAGGGGGACUGAGAGGUUAACCCCCCACAUUGGUACUGAGACACGGACCAAACUCCUACGGGAGGCAGCAGUGAGGAAUAUUGGUCAAUGGACGCAAGUCUGAACCAGCCAUGCCGCGUGCAGGAAGACGGCUCUAUGAGUUGUAAACUGCUUUUGUAUGAGGGUAAAAUUAGAUACGUGUAUCUAACUGCAAGUAUCAUACGAAUAAGGAUCGGCUAACUCCGUG
This 493-nucleotide ribosomal RNA is filed under the name uncultured bacterium. RNAcentral's name for it is "bacterial SSU rRNA". It matches the Rfam family "Bacterial small subunit ribosomal RNA", at positions 31 to 507 of the family's 1533-position model. The record is from RNAcentral.